This 2152-nucleotide long non-coding RNA is filed under the name Zostera marina. Its description in RNAcentral is "long non-coding RNA (ZMAR_LNC005685)". Lineage: Eukaryota; Viridiplantae; Streptophyta; Magnoliopsida; Alismatales; Zosteraceae. The record is from RNAcentral.
CAUUGUAUAACAAAACAAUAUAUAGAGUUGUAGCCAAACAAUAUUUGAGUACUUAGACUAAUAUUUAAUAGCAAUGUUUAGCCAAAAAAUAACCUAGGAAUUUUUAUACUUUCAUUGUACUUGAAGCUAUAGUUGUUAAAUAUAUAAGAGUCACGUAAGGCCACCCGUAGUAUGUCAUGGACAAUUUUUUCCCUGAUGUUAUCAACGUCUUUCUUGCUCCAAAGUACCGGCUCACCCAGAGAUAUGUAUUCCAUGACGGCCAUUACGUAUAGUCCGGUCUCUUCAGGGGUUUUAUAGAAUGCUUGAGGAAAACUAGGUGAUCUUUCACAAACCCAACUAGACAACUUGUGGUCGUAAUGAUCCAACCAUUACAACAUAGUAUAAGAUUUUUGCAAUGAAUUUGAAUUUAAAUUUGACCUCGCGGGCUUUUCCUUUUUGAAAUGAUGAAUUGAUUGACAUCCGGAGAGGAUUCACAAUCCGGAGAAGAUAAAUGCCAGUCGAUAUCUUCUAUCAAAUGUUCUACUACGAAGUCAACUCUUCUCUUAUCAGAAUCUGAAAAAUCAGCAGUUCUUUAGUUAUUAUUAGCAGACAUCAUAAUACUAAUAGCAUUGAAUAACAAGGAAGUAUAUGUGAAGUUCUACAAGUCCAUGAUAUUAUCGCAGUUAAAUAUUUCUAAUUAUCACCCAUUUUUUUCGGUUAUUUGAUCUCAGUAAAAUCAGUAUUUUUGCUAAUAUAAAUUCAAAAAAUCAUUUACCUUAAACAGCACGUCAGAGAGAUUGUACGCUGUGUUGGUGUUUCCAUCUUACGUUUAUUCGAUUUCUCCUUACUUGAAUUAGACAUUUUCCUGUCAACAUGCAAUGAAACAAGCACAACGAAAAAUCAUAUUCAUAAAAUGGAAGAAUUUAAAAUUAAUAAUUAGUUGAUAGGAAAUAAAUAUUUAUUGGAAAUAAAGAAGACCAAAUCAAAAUGAUAUUGAGAGAAAAUUAACAUAAAGUUGAAAAUUCGAUAGAAGAACACAAACAUAAAAAUCAAUAUAACAUAAAUAGACAAACAUAAGAAGAAUGGACAAAACAAAACUUAAAUCCAUUAAUCAAUAAACAAAACAGAGUAGAAGACGAACAUAAAAAUUUUAACUAAGUUCGAAGAAGAAGAACAGUGGGUAUAAAAAAAACGGAGGGUACGAAGAAGAAGAAGAACAACGGGGAAUAAAGAAUUCUGGUGAAUAAAGGUUUAUCUAAGAAAGCGGAAUAACAAUGGAUGAUAGGGUAUAUAAAAACCAAAAAGAAACGACAACAAUAUGACUGAAGCUAUUUUUCGUAUCCGGUAGACGGAGAGAAAUAUAAAAAUAAACAUGACUAAUGGAUGUGUCGCGGGAGAAAAUCAGUUCAAGAAUUCUUACCCGAAGUUCGCAAGCUCAACAUCGCGGACUGCAAUUUUAUCAGUUCAGCAAAAUACAUUAGCAGAAUAUUUAAAUUAGUAAAUAUACACAGAAUAUUUAGUACUGUAUAUUUUACAUACAAAUAUUGCCACUUGCUGGAACAGAUGAUUUUUUAGGAUCUUUGUUUUCGGAUGUAGAAUUAUGUUUUUUCUUUGAAGUAUGAUCAGAACAUGAAGAAGAAAUUUUCUUUGAAAACCUUCAAUGAAGAUUACCUAGAUAUAAACAAACAACCAAUGUUUUGACUCAAAAAAAUAAAAAUAAUAAUGGAAUACACAAUGAUUUGAUUAAGAAAUAAGAAUAAAUACAAACAGAGAAAUAAAAUUAUGUUUUAAAAUGAAUUAAGAAAAAGUUGGAAUCAAGAAACCUUACAUAUGCCAAAAAAAACAUAAAAAAAAUUAAAGAUAUACAAACAGAAUUCGAUUUUUAGAGGAAAAGGCUAAAUAGUAGAAGAAAAUAAAAUUGCGAUUGAAAAAAAAAACAAGAUGAAGAUAAAAAAAUAGCAGAGCAUGAAGAUAAAAGAUAAAACAUGUUUUUUUUCAAGAGCAUGAAAAUAACAAGAGUAAAUAUCUUCAAACAUAACAGAAGUAUAAAAUUAUGAAAAAAGAACAGAACAGUAUGGAAUAGUAUGGAAUAUAGUAUAAAACUAGAGUAUAAAAUGAAGAACAUACACAGCAGAUAGAGUCACACAGCAGAUUGAAAUGAAGAAAAACUCAC